GUCGGGGUCGCCUAGCCAGGUUAGGGCGCAGGUUUGCUAAACCUGUGGGCGUUAAAGGAGUUAGAAACAGCGGUAACCUGUUUCAGUCUGCACGAAGCCCCCGCGGGUUCAAAUCCCGCCCCCGACG
Molecule: transfer RNA, 127 nt
Filed under: Candidatus Aenigmatarchaeota archaeon
Lineage: Archaea; Nanobdellati; Candidatus Aenigmatarchaeota
Description: tRNA-Ser
Rfam family: tRNA
About the family: Transfer RNA (tRNA) molecules are approximately 80 nucleotides in length. Their secondary structure includes four short double-helical elements and three loops (D, anti-codon, and T loops). Further hydrogen bonds mediate the characteristic L-shaped molecular structure. tRNAs have two regions of fundamental functional importance: the anti-codon, which is responsible for specific mRNA codon recognition, and the 3' end, to which the tRNAs corresponding amino acid is attached (by aminoacyl-tRNA synthetases). tRNAs cope with the degeneracy of the genetic code in two manners: having more than one tRNA (with a specific anti-codon) for a particular amino acid; and 'wobble' base-pairing, i.e. permitting non-standard base-pairing at the 3rd anti-codon position.
Source: RNAcentral